AGUGGGUUGGGGCCGCCGCUAGGGGUUCUCCCCUCGCUAGGUCCCCACCAGGCGGGUGAACGUGCUCGCUGAGGGUCUUCCCCACUAGGACUUAAGCCCCAUGGAGGUGGGAGGAACUGUUUCCGUCCACUUCUUACCUACUGUCUGUAUGUACAGUACCUACUGUGCACAGCAGCUCAGUAAAGGCUUCGCUGAGUGAGCGGCCGGAAAGAUCUGACCAGCGCUCCGGGCCGGCAUUCAAAUUAGAGUCGAAUUUGGGCUGAGACUCUGCCCCUGGGUCUCACCGGACCCUGCCCAUCUUUGAAGAUGCCUCCUACCUGAGGCUGGAAGAUAGCUAGGUUUCCGCAAAUCCUCAGAAGAAAAGAAAAAUAUAAAAGAAAACCAAGUUCCAGCCAGGUCCAAAGUUUUGAAAUUAGCAAAUAUCCCCUCCCCAAAACUAACUGCUUUGCCUGAAGAGGUCUUGUCCUCGUGGUAAGGGAAAAUGAGAAACUGUUGCUAGAAGUUUCCAGGCAGGUACUGCUAAAAAAAAGUCAUUAGGCUCCUGUGCUAACCUCUUGCUCUGAAAACUGCUAACCACUUUACCAAAGGAAAUUUCCCAUCCUUCCCACCAGCCAGUUACCUUCACGAAUCACUCUGCACCCCCAUGAAGGCUGGGAGUUUGACAAGCAGGGUCUGUCUUUGCAGACCAGUUGUCUUUUUGCCCACGCUCUCAACUUUAGCGUCUUCCUAAAUUGUGGUUUUGCAGGUCGUGUUUAGGGGAGGGAGAAGAAUCUUCCCUUCCUGGAGAGCUGCCUUGGGGGACAGAAUAAUGAAGAUGCCUCAGUCGCUGGGCUUGCUCAGGCCUCAGGCACCCAGAGUGGCACAGAGCAUCAAGCUGUGCCUCUCGGACACCCAGAUAAACGGCAUCUGAGCUUCCUGCAAAGUCACAGAGCAAAUGUGAAUACAUACAAACCUACCGACCCAUGUCUAAUACCUGGACUUCUGGGUAAACUGGCUCAGACCACGGCAGGAACGUGAUGGAGGCCUGGACAGCAGGACAACAGAGUGCCUAGGACCGGAUUCUCUUUUAGAGACAGUGAAGUAGUCACAAACAACGCGACGUAAUGUAUAUGGGAUUUGCUUCAGAACAACUCAGUAGUGGACGGAAGCACUGAAAGUCGGGAAGAAACAGGGUCAGCCCUGAGGCGGUCAUCAGUGACUCUGGAUCAUGGGUACAUGAGCGCCUGUGCUAUUCUCUC
RNAcentral lists this long non-coding RNA (1238 nucleotides) under Sus scrofa (pig). Its description in RNAcentral is "lncRNA (ENSSSCG00070008601.1)". The record is from RNAcentral. Lineage: Eukaryota; Metazoa; Chordata; Mammalia; Artiodactyla; Suidae.